Molecule: non-coding RNA, 530 nt
Organism: Notechis scutatus (mainland tiger snake)
Lineage: Eukaryota; Metazoa; Chordata; Lepidosauria; Squamata; Elapidae
Source: RefSeq, a predicted model, not a curated record
UGCUUUCCAGCUCCGUUCUCCUGGGCAGGGCAACCAAAGGAGACCCAGCCGAUCAGCUGGGACUCCAUGGGAGGCAGAGAAUAGAUGGGGUUGGUGGGUCCAGUCCGAGGUGGGAUUGGCCGCUUCUCCCAACUUCUCAAAAGUAUCCGCUUCCGGUUCUCCGGAACCGGCUGAAUCCCACCUCUGCCUUCCUCGCCCGCGUCCAUUUCCUCCUCCUGAUUCCUCCCUUGUGGCUUCACCUCCUUUCAGCCCCACGGAGCGCGAGCGGACGGAGCGGCUGAUCAAGACCAAACUGAGAGAGAUCAUGAUGCAGAAGGAUCUGGAGAACAUCACGUCCAAGGAGAUCCGCACGGAGCUGGAGAUGCAGAUGGCAUGCAACCUGCGUGAAUUUAAGGAAUUCAUUGACAACGAAAUGAUCGUCAUUCUGGGCCAGAUGGACAGCCCCACGCAGAUCUUCGACCACGUCUUCCUGGGUUCGGAAUGGAACGCCUCCAAUUUGGAAGAUUUGCAAACCAGAGGGUGAGUCGGCC